CGUGUUUGGCGAUUGAACCUGGAUU
Molecule: microRNA, 25 nt
Filed under: Drosophila ananassae
Lineage: Eukaryota; Metazoa; Arthropoda; Insecta; Diptera; Drosophilidae
Description: Dan-Mir-973_5p* (star (passenger))
Source: RNAcentral